Molecule: ribosomal RNA, 253 nt
Filed under: uncultured bacterium
Lineage: Bacteria
Description: partial 16S ribosomal RNA
Rfam family: Bacterial small subunit ribosomal RNA
Source: RNAcentral
UACGGAGGGUGCGAGCGUUAUUCGGAAUAACUGGGCGUAAAGGGCACGCAGGCGGAUUUUUAAGUCAGGUGUGAAAGCCCCGGGCUUAACCUGGGAAUUGCAUUUCAUACUGGGAGACUAGAGUACGUUAGGGGUGGGUGGAAUUCCCAGCGUAGCGGUGAAAUGCGUAGAGAUGGGGAGGAAUACCGGAGGCGAAGGCGGCCCCUUGGGAAUGUACUGACGCUCAUGUGCGAAAGCGUGGGGAGCAAACAGG